AAGGCCCUACCGAUUCGAAGCCUUAGGUUCCACCUGGGAGGUUAGUAGAUGAGGCGGGGCCUA
This is a small RNA of 63 nucleotides. It matches the Rfam family "DUF3800-VIII RNA". Rfam says of the family: Bacteroidetes, Cyanobacteria, Firmicutes, Planctomycetes (1 example), Proteobacteria, Tenericutes (1 example). Nearby to DUF3800